Molecule: long non-coding RNA, 584 nt
Organism: Vanessa atalanta (red admiral)
Lineage: Eukaryota; Metazoa; Arthropoda; Insecta; Lepidoptera; Nymphalidae
Exons: 3
Source: RefSeq, a predicted model, not a curated record
GUUCCGGACGCCACCAGUACACACGACGACGUGGAGUCUGAGACUGCACCCUCGGCAUCGCCACAUCGCAAAUGCGGAACAGGGCGGCACCGAGUCGGUCAGCCUCUCGGUCGACCUGGACGACCGGGUCGGAACCGGCACACCAGGCCUCCACGAUGGCCGCCUCCUUUGCCAACUGGCUGUCGAGGCGGCCCAGACUCCACCGCGGACCUUCUGACCGCUCAACAGCGGGCUGGACGACGGGAACCGCGGAGACAUCGAAUCGGAUAUAUCUAUGAUCCGACAGAGUCUCCACCCCCGUCUCCACCCUCCAAUCCCGAACACGGCGGGCUAGGGCGAUGGACGCGAACGUUAAGUCCACGAUCGACUCGCCCCGCUGCCGCACGCACGUGCUCUCCGAUCCACUGUUGAUCGUCGCGAGCCCCAGUGACACGGCCCACUCCUCUAGCACCUCUCCUCGGGCAUCGGUCGCAGGAGAACCCCAAGCCGUGGAUUUGGCAUUGAAAUCCCCCGCGACUAUCACCGGUCUCGGUGAAACCUGCCCGACCAAAGCCCCUACCUCAACGAGAACGGAAGAGAGUCGU